UAGGGAAUCUUCGGCAAUGGACGGAAGUCUGACCGAGCAACGCCGCGUGAGUGAAGAAGGUUUUCGGAUCGUAAAGCUCUGUUGUAAGAGAAGAACGAGUGUGAGAGUGGAAAGUUCACACUGUGACGGUAUCCUACCAGAAAGGGACGGCUAACUACGUGCCAGCAGCCGCGGUAAUACGUAGGUCCCAAGCGUUGUCCGGAUUUAUUGGGCGUAAAGCGAGCGCAGGCGGUUAGAUAAGUCUGAAGUUAAAGGCUGUGGCUUAACCAUAGUACGCUUUGGAAACUGUUUAACUUGAGUGCAAGAGGGGAGAGUGGAAUUCCAUGUGUAGCGGUGAAAUGCGUAGAUAUAUGGAGGAACACCGGUGGCGAAAGCGGCUCUCUGGCUUGUAACUGACGCUGAGGCUCGAAAGCGUGGGGAGCAAACAGGAUUAGAUACCCUGGUAGUCCACGCCGUAAACGAUGAGUGCUAGGUGUUAGACCCUUUCCGGGGUUUAGUGCCGUAGCUAACGCAUUAAGCACUCCGCCUGGGGAGUACGACCGCAAGGUUG
This 550-nucleotide ribosomal RNA is filed under the name uncultured bacterium. Its description in RNAcentral is "bacterial SSU rRNA". It matches the Rfam family "Bacterial small subunit ribosomal RNA", at positions 355 to 896 of the family's 1533-position model. The record is from RNAcentral.